This 1535-nucleotide long non-coding RNA is filed under the name Heterocephalus glaber (naked mole-rat). RNAcentral describes it as "lncRNA (ENSHGLG00000037272.1)". Lineage: Eukaryota; Metazoa; Chordata; Mammalia; Rodentia; Bathyergidae. The record is from RNAcentral.
CGUUUGGGAAUCGAACCGUGAUGUGUUCUUGGAUGUUGGGGAAAAUAAACUACCAGCCCUAAGUUUCAGCCAGUAGAAGCAUCUACCUUCUUCCCUAACAGAUUUCCAGUAUUUGGCUCUUACGAUGUGACAACUGGGUUUUAUUUGCCACAUGUGGGACUCAUGCAUGACUUUAUAAUUACUGUCAUUACAUAUUGGGCUUUACGUGUGUGUCUCUUGGUUUUUAUUUAAAUUUGAGAGUCACAGCCUUCGCUUUGCAAAUCACCUUUGGUCUUAGAACUUCCCUUCCCUUUUGUCUUAGAACAGUCUUCUGAUGAAUGAGGUCAUUUCACCCUUUGCUGCCAGGCAGUCCUCCGAGGGCAGUGUGGCUCAGAGCCAGAGAACAUGGACUGAUGGAUACCGUAAAGCCAGUGGAUGUCUCAGAUUGCCCUGAGCCUAGCACAUGGCACUCCAAGGAGCUUGCUGCGGUAUGGUAUAAAGCUCAGACUCGGCCCCUGCUUGGUGUCACAGGCUCACUGAAUUGUCCUGUCUGCCAGAAACCUGAAAGGGCCUUGUUGUUUCCCUGUGAGACUGCAGUGGGCAGAAGCAGAGAGACGCUGGUCUGGUGUCCUGAAAAGCUCUCAGUGAUUUGGCUUGGUACAGAAACGUCCUGGCCGGAUUUGUGGAAGUUGAUCUGCCUGCUCUGUCUUUAUUUGUUUCGUCUUGAUUUUUCCCCUCCAAUGGGAAAAUGAGGACUUAAAUCUUUGUGUGUGUGCAGUAUUUUUCCUUGAUAAACAAGCUCAAUACAUUCGGAACCAUUUUACCUUCUAAUGGAACUCUUUCUGAAAGUGAAGACUUGGAAAAUGAUGCAGUGGACUACCUUUGCAGAUAUCUAUUGAGCCAGAUAAUGCUGGAAAAGGAUCAGAGAGGGCAGGAUCAGCGACACAAGGAUAUCUCCAGUGGUCUUUUUUGUCCGUGUUUGUGUUCACGUCCCAGGUGCCACUUUACCACCAGCCUCACCCACACUGAGCCCUGGCAUUGCUACCAAAUUCGUCUCCAGAGCAGCUCAGGUGUUCUCUGACCUUUUGCUCGAAACCUCAAUGCUCACUGUAAAUUUCUGCAGAUCUAGGAGUGCAAUAAACGAUGAGAGAAUUUAACCGGUUUUUGCUAAAAGAGAACUUAUCGGGCCCAUGGAUUUUGAAAUUCAGCAUAAAGUGAAAUUUCCCAUCACAGUAAAUGCAUACAAUUAUAAAUAAUUAAGCCAAACUCUGAGUAGUAAUUUAUGUGUUUCUUUAAAAAUGUCCCUAAUAUAUUGACAUUGACCAUGGAGUGCAAGAAUUCUUAACAAUCAAUGGGAAUUCUGCUGAGCAUGAACACCAGACCUCGACAGUUAAUGUCCCAUCAGUAUCUGAUCACCAUAAAAGUUUUAGCAGGAGUUUGGCUCUGAGGUCAGGAAGUACUGUGGGCCCAGAAAUGAGAGUAAUAAAUUCACGAUGGAAAGAACUUCACUCUUCCUACUCAUCACUAAGACAAACUCGCUAGUUAAAAAGCUGCAC